Molecule: ribosomal RNA, 424 nt
Filed under: uncultured prokaryote
Also listed under: 1 other name
Description: bacterial SSU rRNA
Rfam family: Bacterial small subunit ribosomal RNA
Source: RNAcentral
UGAGGAAUAUUGGUCAAUGGCCGAGAGGCUGAACCAGCCAAGUAGCGUGAAGGAUGAAGGUUCUAUGGAUUGUAAACUUCUUUUAUACGGGAAUAACAUCACCUACGUGUAGGUGCCUGCAUGUACCGUAUGAAUAAGCAUCGGCUAACUCCGUGCCAGCAGCCGCGGUAAUACGGAGGAUGCGAGCGUUAUCCGGAUUUAUUGGGUUUAAAGGGAGCGUAGACGGGAUGUUAAGUCAGCUGUGAAAGCCUGCGGCCCAACCGCAGAACUGCAGUUGAUACUGGCGUUCUUGAGUGCGUACGAGGUAUGUGGAAUUCGUGGUGUAGCGGUGAAAUGCUUAGAUAUCACGAAGAACUCCGAUUGCGAAGGCAGCGUACCAGUCCGUAACUGACGUUGAUGCUCGAAAGUGUGGGUAUCAAACAGG